UGCAGUCGAGCGAAGAGAUGGGAGCUUGCUCCCUGAUCUUAGCGGCGGACGGGUGAGUAACACGUGGGCAACCUGCCCUGCAGACUGGGAUAACUCCGGGAAACCGGAGCUAAUACCGGGUAAUACAUCGCACCGCAUGGUGCAAUGUUGAAAGUUGGCUUUCUGAGCUAACACUGCAGGAUGGGCCCGCGGCGCAUUAGCUAGUUGGUAAGGUAAUGGCUUACCAAGGCGACGAUGCGUAGCCGACCUGAGAGGGUGAUCGGCCACUGGGACUGAGACACGGCCCAGACUCCUACGGGAGGCAGCAGUAGGGAAUCUUCCGCAAUGGACGAAAGUCUGACGGAGCAACGCCGCGUGAGUGACGAAGGCCUUCGGGUCGUAAAGCUCUGUUGUUAGGGAAGAACAAGUACCGUUCGAAUAGGGCGGUACCUUGACGGUACCUAACCAGAAAGCCACGGCUAACUACGUGCCAGCAGCCGCGGUAAUACGUAGGUGGCAAGCGUUGUCCGGAAUUAUUGGGCGUAAAGCGCGCGCAGGCGGUCUUUUAAGUCUGAUGUGAAAGCCCACGGCUCAACCGUGGAGGGUCAUUGGAAACUGGAGGACUUGAGUGCAGAAGAGGAGAGUGGAAUUCCACGUGUAGCGGUGAAAUGCGUAGAUAUGUGGAGGAACACCAGUGGCGAAGGC
This 684-nucleotide ribosomal RNA is filed under the name uncultured Caryophanales bacterium. RNAcentral describes it as "bacterial SSU rRNA". It matches the Rfam family "Bacterial small subunit ribosomal RNA", at positions 56 to 722 of the family's 1533-position model. Lineage: Bacteria; Bacillati; Bacillota; Bacilli; Caryophanales. The record is from RNAcentral.